CACGUAGGCACCAAGCGUUAUCCGGAUUUAUUGGGCGUAAAGAGCUCGUAGGCGGUUCGGUAAGUCGGGUGUGAAAACUCUGGGCUCAACCCAGAGAGGCCACCCGAUACUGCUGUGACUAGAGUGCGGUAGGGGAGCGGGGAAUUCCUGGUGUAGCGGUGAAAUGCGCAGAUAUCAGGAGGAACACCAGCGGCGAAGGCGCCGCUCUGGGCCGUAACUGACGCUGAGGAGCGAAAGCAUGGGUAGCAAGCAGG
This 254-nucleotide ribosomal RNA is filed under the name uncultured bacterium. Its description in RNAcentral is "partial 16S ribosomal RNA". It matches the Rfam family "Bacterial small subunit ribosomal RNA", at positions 524 to 776 of the family's 1533-position model. The record is from RNAcentral.